Molecule: transfer RNA, 64 nt
Filed under: Marmota marmota marmota (Alpine marmot)
Lineage: Eukaryota; Metazoa; Chordata; Mammalia; Rodentia; Sciuridae
Also listed under: 2 other names
Rfam family: tRNA
About the family: Transfer RNA (tRNA) molecules are approximately 80 nucleotides in length. Their secondary structure includes four short double-helical elements and three loops (D, anti-codon, and T loops).
Source: Rfam by way of RNAcentral
GGGGAUGUGGCUCAGUGGUAAAAGCACUUGUGUGAGGCUCUGAGUUCAAUCCCCAGCACCGCCA